This 462-nucleotide ribosomal RNA is filed under the name Triticum aestivum (bread wheat). RNAcentral describes it as "partial small subunit ribosomal RNA". Lineage: Eukaryota; Viridiplantae; Streptophyta; Magnoliopsida; Poales; Poaceae. The record is from RNAcentral.
AUGAGUGACACAAAUUGCCCCAUCAUGAGUUGGAACAUUAGAGGCCUAAACUCUCCGACGCGACGAGCUGUAGUAAAUGAGACGGCCGAGGCGCACAAGCUAGCCCUCCUCUGCCUCCAAGAGACGAAGAUCGAGGAGUGGAGCCGCCAACUAGCCCGGGAGGUUGGCGGGGCAAGGCUCGCAGACUACGUCGUGCUUCCCGCCAUCGGCACCAGAGGUGGCGCCGCCAUUUUUUGGGACAGCAGCGUCGUAGACGUACAAACACAUGCCGUGGGCCAGUUCUCCAUCACUGUCCGAGUCUCCGUUGCAACAACCACGACAUCCUUCUGGCUAACCACGGUCUACGGCCCCGUCGACGAUAGUAGAAAGGAUGAUUUUCUGUUAGAAAUAGCUACACUACAAAAAAAAGACACAUCCAUGACAUUUUGGGCCGAACGAAAUUUUUUUCUGUCAUACAUAUGA